GAUGAACGCUGGCGGCGUGCCUAAUACAUGCCAGUCGAGCGAACGGACGAGAAGCUUGCUUCUCUGAUGUUAGCGGCGGACGGGUGAGUAACACGUGGAUAAUCUACCUAUAAGACUGGGAUAACUUCGGGAAACCGUAGCUAAUACCGGAUAAUAUUUUGAACCGCAUGGUUCAAAAGUGAAAGACGGUCUUGCUGUCGGUUAUAGAUGGAUCUGCGCUGCAUUAGCUAGUUGGUAGGGUAGCGGCGUACCAAGGCAAGGAUGCAUAGCCGGCCUGAGAGGGUGACCGGCCACAUGGGGACUGAGAUACGGCCCAGACUCCUAGGGGAGGCAGCAGUGGGGAAUAGUGAACAAUGGGCGGAAGCCAGAUGCAGAAACGCAGAGUGCGGGAUAACGGCCUUCGGGUUGUAAACCGCUUUCGCCUGUGACGAAGCGUGAGUGACGGUAAUGGGUAAAGAAGCACCGGCUAACUACGUG
RNAcentral lists this ribosomal RNA (477 nucleotides) under uncultured bacterium. RNAcentral's name for it is "partial 16S ribosomal RNA". It matches the Rfam family "Bacterial small subunit ribosomal RNA", at positions 28 to 507 of the family's 1533-position model. The record is from RNAcentral.